AUAUCAAUAAGCGGAGGAAAAGAAACUAACAAGGAUUCCCCUAGUAACGGCGAGUGAAGCGGGAAGAGCUCAAAUUUGAAAGCUGGUACCUUCGGUGCCCGCGUUGUAAUCUCGAGAAGUGUUUUCCGUGCUGGACCAUGUACAAGUUCCUUGGAAUAGGACGUCAUAGAGGGUGAAAAUCCCGUACUUGACAUGGACGCCCAGUGCUUUGUGAUACACUCUCCACGAGUCGAGUUGUUUGGGAAUGCAGCUCAAAAUGGGUGGUAAAUUCCAUCUAAAGCUAAAUAUUGGGGAGAGACCGAUAGCGCACAAGUA
This 315-nucleotide ribosomal RNA is filed under the name uncultured Cantharellales. Its description in RNAcentral is "partial large subunit ribosomal RNA". It matches the Rfam family "Eukaryotic large subunit ribosomal RNA", at positions 40 to 350 of the family's 3401-position model. The record is from RNAcentral. Lineage: Eukaryota; Fungi; Basidiomycota; Agaricomycetes; Cantharellales.